CUGGGGGGUGGUGCUCCGUCAUCGAACGGCCAGUCUAGAACUUGGAUUCCUUCUUUUUCGAUAGGAGCUUUAUCAUAGGUGGCAUCACAGACUCGCACCAAGGUUGUCACUCCAUACUUCUUCAGCUCCUCUAUGAACCUGCAGAGGGUCGCAUUGGUUGGGUUGUGAGUGAUGAGGAAACGCAUCCCGUCAUAGCUGAUUUCCACGGGGGCUGGACGGUUCAUAAUGGCAACAAAACGUGUGAGGGGCCAAAAAAUUAAUUAAAAACAAAAGAAAAAAAAAGAAAAAAGAAAAUUAAAAAAAAAAAUCAAUAACCUUGGAAACGUUUCACAGCAGAAAACAUUAAAAGACCACUAAAUGGCUGGGAUUGAUCAGAGCUUGCGUUGAC
RNAcentral lists this long non-coding RNA (388 nucleotides) under Gallus gallus (chicken). The record is from RNAcentral. Lineage: Eukaryota; Metazoa; Chordata; Aves; Galliformes; Phasianidae.